GACGAACGCUGGCGGCGUGCUUAACACAUGCAAGUCGAACGGAAAGGCCCUGCUUUUGUGGGGUGCUCGAGUGGCGAACGGGUGAGUAACACGUGAGUAACCUGCCCUUGACUUUGGGAUAACUUCAGGAAACUGGGGCUAAUACCGGAUAGGAGCUCCUGCUGCAUGGUGGGGGUUGGAAAGUUUCGGCGGUUGGGGAUGGACGCGCGGCUUAUCAGCUUGUUGGUGGGGUAGUGGUUUACCAAGGCUUUGACGGGUAGCCGGCCUGAGAGGGUGACCGGCCACAUUAGGACUGAGAGACGGCCCAGACUCCUACGGGAGGCAGCAGUGGGGAAUAUUGCACAAUGGGCGGAAGCCUGAUGCAGCAACGCCGCGUGCGGGAUGACGGCCUUCGGGUUGUAAACCGCUUUCGCCUGUGACGAAGCGUGAGUGACGGUAAUGGGUAAAGAAGCACCGGCUAACUACGUG
RNAcentral lists this ribosomal RNA (468 nucleotides) under uncultured bacterium. Its description in RNAcentral is "partial 16S ribosomal RNA". It matches the Rfam family "Bacterial small subunit ribosomal RNA", at positions 28 to 507 of the family's 1533-position model. The record is from RNAcentral.